GAUGAACGCUAGCUACAGGCUUAACACAUGCAAGUCGAGGGGAAACGACAUCGAAAGCUUGCUUUUGAUGGGCGUCGACCGGCGCACGGGUGGGUAACGCGUAUCCAACCUGCCCAUCACUUGGGAAUAACCUUGCGAAAGUAAGACUAAUACCCAAUGACAUCCCACGAAGACAUCUGAAUGGGAUUAAAGAUUUAUCGGUGAUGGAUGGGGAUGCGUCUGAUUAGCUUGUUGGCGGGGUAACGGCCCACCAAGGCAACGAUCAGUAGGGGUUCUGAGAGGAAGGUCCCCCACAUGGGAACUGAGACCCGGGCCAAACACCUACGGGAGGCAGCAGUGAGGAAUAUUGGUCAAUGGGCGAGAGCCUGAACCAGCCAAGUAGCGUGCAGGAUGACGGCGCUAUGGGUGGUAAACUGCUUUUAUAAGGGAAUAAAGUGGGUCUCGUGAGACUUUUUGCAUGUACCUUAUGAAUAAGGACCGGCUAAUUCCGUG
Molecule: ribosomal RNA, 492 nt
Filed under: uncultured bacterium
Lineage: Bacteria
Description: partial 16S ribosomal RNA
Rfam family: Bacterial small subunit ribosomal RNA
Source: RNAcentral